Molecule: ribosomal RNA, 465 nt
Filed under: uncultured Klebsiella sp.
Lineage: Bacteria; Pseudomonadati; Pseudomonadota; Gammaproteobacteria; Enterobacterales; Enterobacteriaceae
Description: bacterial SSU rRNA
Rfam family: Bacterial small subunit ribosomal RNA
Source: RNAcentral
CCUACGGGCGGCUGCAGUGGGGAAUAUUGCACAAUGGGCGCAAGCCUGAUGCAGCCAUGCCGCGUGUGUGAAGAAGGCCUUCGGGUUGUAAAGCACUUUCAGCGGGGAGGAAGGCGGUGAGGUUAAUAACCUCAUCGAUUGACGUUACCCGCAGAAGAAGCACCGGCUAACUCCGUGCCAGCAGCCGCGGUAAUACGGAGGGUGCAAGCGUUAAUCGGAAUUACUGGGCGUAAAGCGCACGCAGGCGGUCUGUCAAGUCGGAUGUGAAAUCCCCGGGCUCAACCUGGGAACUGCAUUCGAAACUGGCAGGCUAGAGUCUGGUAGAGGGGGGUAGAAUUCCAGGUGUAGCGGUGAAAUGCGUAGAGAUCUGGAGGAAUACCGGUGGCGAAGGCGGCCCCCUGGACAAAGACUGACGCUCAGGUGCGAAAGCGUGGGGAGCAAACAGGAUUAGAUACCCCGGUAGUC